Small nuclear RNA from Urocitellus parryii (Arctic ground squirrel), 107 nucleotides. Lineage: Eukaryota; Metazoa; Chordata; Mammalia; Rodentia; Sciuridae. The record is from Ensembl.
GUGCUUGCUUUGGCAGCACACAUACUAAAAUUGGAACAAUACACAGAAGAUUAGUAUGGCCCUUGCGCAAGGAUGACAUGAAAAUUCAUGAAACGUUCCAUAUUUUU